This 1093-nucleotide long non-coding RNA is filed under the name Chrysolophus pictus (golden pheasant). Its description in RNAcentral is "lncRNA (ENSCPIG00010001969.1)". The record is from RNAcentral. Lineage: Eukaryota; Metazoa; Chordata; Aves; Galliformes; Phasianidae.
GGCAAGAUGGCCAGAGAGUUGUGCAGGUCCACCCGGCUCAGCUGCACCUUUUUAUCUGCCCUUCUCUGGUCCUCCUGCAGCCAGACAGAUAGCCCACAGGGGCACGGGGUUCGCAGACCCUCCCCGGCCAGCUGCAGCAGUCGCUCCUGCCAGCACUCCCUUUCCUCCCGACCAUUCCCAUUUUGCAGGCUGGAGCCCUACGUGGCAGAGGAGGAGAGAGCUGCGGGCAGAAGGAAAACGGGGUGCUGGGAUUCCUCCAGCCCGCUGCCGGAUGUCUUCUCUGGCAUGUUGGGGGUGGGCAGAGGACUGUGGGAGCACCUUCGAGGCUCUGGGCAGGAGGGUCUGCAUCGACGGCACCGGUUGCUCGAGCUUUUCCCACUGCAGGAGCUCAGAAGCGACAACAACCCCGACCCCAAACCAGGCAGGUAAUGACAACAUACACACACAGAUACACGCCCGAUACAGAAUCUGGCACUCUACAGUCCUCCCAGAGCUUGUUGCUGCUUUUGUAGGCUGCUCUACAGCUAUUCAGUCCUUUUGCCUUCAUUCCCAUAUGUCUUGCCCCCUUCCUUCGCCCUGUGCCUUCCCCGUUCCUUUUUCAGGCUUCCUCCUUUCUUUCCUCACUUCCUUCCCCAUCCCUUCCCCCUGCAACGGCCUGUGUUCUGCUGCUGUUUCAGCUGACAGUCCUUAAACCACACUUUUCAAAGACAUUGGAUCAGAUCGCAUACUGUCACUGAUUUAAAAAAGAAAACAACAAGUGCAGUACUAUGUAUGGAUAACAAACUCCUACCUGCUUGAAAAACAGUAGCAGCGCCUCAUCCUGGAGUGUCACCAUCACCUGCAUGUUGGGCUGGCACUGCUCAUCUGCCCCGCAGUGCUGCUCAAACUCCUGGCACAGCCUGCCACCUCCUUGUGUCACCUCCUUGUGUCACCUCCUUGUGUCACCUCCUUUUGCCUCUGUAGUUCUGACCCCACACAUCCACCCCGUGUCCCCCCGUGUCCCUGUGUCCCCAUAUGCCCUCUCAUGUCCCCUCAAGUUCCCCCGCGCCCCCUGCCCCGCUUUGCUCCAUGCCGAUGUUGUCGGGUUGAGGAC